RNAcentral lists this long non-coding RNA (2525 nucleotides) under Macaca fascicularis (crab-eating macaque). RNAcentral describes it as "lncRNA (ENSMFAG00000058100.1)". The record is from RNAcentral. Lineage: Eukaryota; Metazoa; Chordata; Mammalia; Primates; Cercopithecidae.
UUAUCUAGGAUGACUAGGACUCUUAAAAUAAUAUUGAAUAGAAAUGAGAAUAAAUGUUCUUGAAUUGCUCCUGAUUUCAAAGGGAAUAAUUUGUAGUAUUUCAACAUUGGGUGUUUACUGUCAUUUUUUUGUGAAUGUCUUUUAUCAAACUAGAAAAUUUUCUUCUAUUCUUAGUCUAUUGGAUAUUGAAUUUCAUUGAAUGCUUUUCCUGAAUCUCUGUGAUGAUUAAUUGAUCCUCUUUAAUCUGUUAGAUCAGUUACAUUAAUAGAUUUCUCUGAGUUUGAACCUUGCAUUCCUAGAAUAAACCUAACUUGAUUGUGAUAUAAUACAUAUUAUGUAGGAUUAUACUAUAUAGAUUUCAGUUUGUCAAUAUUUUGUUGAGAGUUUUGCUUCUAUUUUUAUGGAUGAGGUUUUUUUUUCCUGAUUUUACAAAUUUUGUAAAAUAAGUUGAGGUAAUGUUCUCUUUUCCUGCUUGCUGAAAGAAUUUGGUAAGAUUGAAAGUAUCUGUUCCUAAAUUUAGUGAGAACUCACCUGUAGAACCAUUUAGGUUUAGAGUUUCUUGUGGGAAGAUUUUUAAUUACUGACUGAAUUUUGUUAACAGUUAUCAAGCCAGUCAGAUUUUCUAUUAUUGCCUGAGUCAUUUUUGGUAAUUUAUAUUUUUCUGAGAAGUUGGCUGCUUCAUGUAAUUUUUCAAAUUUAUUUUUAUAAACUUACUCAUAAUAUUCUUUUUCUAUCUUUAUAAUUACUGCUACAUCUGUGGUUUGGUCCUCUUUUUACCUCGGUCUUAAUAUUGUUUAUUUAUAACUUCUCUGUCUUUUCUUGAUCAGUUUUGCUGGAAUUUUGCCCAUUUAUUAGUGUUUUUAAAGAUGUAACUCUCAGCAUCUUGAUCCUCUUUAUAGCUUUUAUGUUUUCUAUUUUGUUAACUUCUUCUCUUGCCUUUAUUCUUUCUUUUUUCCUACUAUCUUUGGGUCUAUUCUGUUUUUCAAAGUUAACUUCUUAAAUUGAAUGUUUAGUGCAGUCAUCUUUAAUUUUUAUUUCUUAAAUAUGGUCAACAUAAUUAUUAUAGAAAUUUAUAAAAUAAGUUGCCUUAUCUGUACUGCUUCUUUUUUUCCCUCUAUGAGUUUGGAAGUUGUGCAGUUUAUUUCUAGUCUUUUAGUGUAUCCCUAGAAUUUUAUCAUGUAUAUUUAAUCAAUGUGUCUAAUGUUAAUAAAUAUUUUAUUCUUUUGAAUAAUCUAUAUAUAUCCAUAUGCUUUUCCUUCAAUUACCUCUCAGUCAAUUUACAUGCUAUUAUUGUCAGCAGGUAAGAGCUAUAUUUAACUCAGUCUGGUUUUUAUUUUCUCAUCUCCACAAAUUAGACAUUGUUAUCUCUAAGUUACUCCAUGAUAAAAAAAAAAAAGUCAUCACCAUUUUGGGUUCCAAGGUAAUUAUUGCAAGUCCUAAUUAUUGCAUGACUUCCACUGGCCUUCAUUGUCCUAAGGAGUGCAGACUUUUAGUCUAGGCCUGAUUUUGGAGGAUACCAAAACUAUUUUAAAAAUCAAAUCUGUGAAACUAUUGCUGUUUCUGAGAACUGUUUACCUCAGACAAAUUUCCCCUUGAUUGAGAUGAUCAAACAACGGCUACUCUCUCACCCUUUCCUGUUUUCAUACCCUGACACAUACUGUGUUUUCUUUCUAAUGAAACAAGUCUGGGGGAAUUUUCUCGUACCCCUAAAAACCUGCUUUUAAAAAUAAAGUUCAUGAAAUAUUUCCCCUCUUACUGGGAUUCCACUGAUUUCCACUGGUUCCCUUUCCUUUCCUUGCGCCUGAAGCCUUGGGUCUUUAUUGGCGAAUAAAGUAUUGGGUUAGGUAUGAGAUAUUUAAUAUGUGAAAACAAAAAGCCUCAGUAAAUGGAGACGUGGGCUUUACUUGUCAGAGUGCAUUCCAUGUGUUUCCUGAGUAAACGUUUCAGAAAAACCCUUAAAGACAACAGACUCUAAUCAGGCCAGCACAGCACACACACAAAAAGGCCAAGUGAAAGCGUAAGAUAAGAGAGAAUUAUGACUAUUCUCUCUGAAAAGGAAAACUCUAUUUCUGAAACUGUAGAGUCAAAACAGUUGAAUUCUUUGUCCUUACAGUCCUGCUGGGAGUGAAGAACUACCAGGUUUCUGACCUGAACAAGAGCAAGGACCUGCCUCCAAGCUGUAGGACUCUUAAACCCAUGCCCUGACGCAAAUGACCCUCUCAAAUGACCCUCUGGUACACAUGUUGGGUUCCUUGAUUUUGGUCUCACUCAAAGCUUAUUGUGUGUCAAAUUUAUAAAAAGGGAAAAGCCCGUCUGUGACCAGAUGAAGAGACAAUGCAAAUCUUACCUGGCUCUGAUGGUGCUGGAUCACAGCAGGCCUGCAGGCCCUUAGGAGGCAACAUGGCUUCCCUGCAGACGUCCUGUGGGUGCCGGGGUGAGAAGACAACAGGCCUUUGGAAGACGUGGCUGCAAAGUCAAGCCACAAAGUGACAAUGAUGACCUCUGACUGAGAAGUAGAAGACUGG